RNAcentral lists this long non-coding RNA (276 nucleotides) under Mytilus galloprovincialis (Mediterranean mussel). The record is from RNAcentral. Lineage: Eukaryota; Metazoa; Mollusca; Bivalvia; Mytilida; Mytilidae.
AGAUAUCGUGAAAAGAAAUAGAUUACAUUGUUCAAAUUAGGUUAUCUCCCCCCAACCAAGGAUUCCAUCAUGUAUAGCAUGGCAAAUGUAAUGCUUCAAAUGUCCAAUAUUCAGAUAAACGACAUCUUAGUGUCGUUCCACGGAACUUCUCUGCUUCAAUUUGACCAUGUAAUAACAUUGAGAAUGGAAAUGGGGAAUAUGUCAAAGAGACAACAACCCAACCAAAGAGCUGAUAACAGCCGAAGGCCACCAAUGGGUCUUCAAUGCAGCGAGAAC